ACUGUACACACUUCUUUGUUAUACUAAUUUAAAGAUCUGUAUACUUUUUGGUUUGAUUCAAAAUUUUAUUUUAGUGAUAUUUGUAAAAAAAAAACAGGGUGGGGGGGGGGGGGUUCACAUGUCCCGCCGUGUCUCAAAAACAAUAAAUGGUUAUUGCUUAAAACUUCCUCAGAAACUAUUUAUGAUUAUUGCAUAAAACUUCCACACAAGACGUCGGGCGUAUCAUGCGCUCAUGGCGCAGCUGUUUAUUUUUACUAUCA
RNAcentral lists this long non-coding RNA (260 nucleotides) under Mytilus galloprovincialis (Mediterranean mussel). The record is from RNAcentral. Lineage: Eukaryota; Metazoa; Mollusca; Bivalvia; Mytilida; Mytilidae.